This 72-nucleotide transfer RNA is filed under the name Pseudonocardia oceani. Its description in RNAcentral is "Pseudonocardia sp. KRD-185 tRNA-Thr". It matches the Rfam family "tRNA". Rfam says of the family: Transfer RNA (tRNA) molecules are approximately 80 nucleotides in length. Their secondary structure includes four short double-helical elements and three loops (D, anti-codon, and T loops). Lineage: Bacteria; Bacillati; Actinomycetota; Actinomycetes; Pseudonocardiales; Pseudonocardiaceae. The record is from RNAcentral.
GCCGGUGUAGCUCAGUGGUAGAGCAACCGCCUUGUAAGCGGUAGGCCGAGGGUUCGAUCCCCUCCUCCGGCU